CGUUUCCGUUAAGUUUCUGUUUUCAGCAAAUGUUGCAAGAAUGCCUAUCGUAUUCAAUCAUCGGCGCGGUCACGGUGUUCCCAGCCCGACGGAAUGAUUCGGAAUCGGUGCACGUCCAGCGACACGACACCGUCCGAUUUUAUCGAGCAAGGGGGCAAGAUGUCACGCGAGCCGUUUCGAUUCGGGGCGAGGAAAAUAUAAAACCGGCCGUGGAUCGGCGGAUGGAUAUAGGUGCUCGGUGUUUCCACGGGUGCGGAUAUCAUCGUGGGAUCCGUCGCUUUCAUAUGCAAAUGAGGACGUUAAUAAAGGCAUUCGUCCACUUGACGACGGGUUAGGAAGAAAGGAAACGGAGUGCAGAAAUGAAUCUGGCCCGGGAUGGAGAUUUCUUUCAACAAGUCAAAUCUCAGGAAACAAUAGUGCAUUAAAAAGAGGACCAGCAUGCCAUCCGUGUAUGCUCGUGGCGAGGAAAAUGGCACGGCGAGAUGUUAAUGGACGAUGUCUAUUUAAACAUUGGUUGUACCAGGAGUUCGUUUCGUUCUCGACUCUAAUUUCCAUAGCGAGAAAUUAGAAUAAUUGCCUUUAAUCUUUAUUGCACCUGUAUGUGUCGUCAGAUGCAAGCGGUGGCGUUAAACACAGAGCAAGUGUCGCUGUUAAAAUAUUGUAUCAAAAGGACGGUUUUAUUUUAUAAAAUUAACAAUUUUAUUACUAAUA
This is a long non-coding RNA of Megalopta genalis, 711 nucleotides long. RefSeq lists it as uncharacterized. NCBI's taxonomy places the organism in Eukaryota, Metazoa, Arthropoda, Insecta, Hymenoptera, Halictidae. The record is from RefSeq and is a predicted model, not a curated record.